Molecule: non-coding RNA, 1428 nt
Organism: Microcebus murinus (gray mouse lemur)
Lineage: Eukaryota; Metazoa; Chordata; Mammalia; Primates; Cheirogaleidae
Source: RefSeq, a predicted model, not a curated record
AGGAGAACGAAUGUGUCCAUCACCCCAACCUUCUCUCAUUCCCCUUUUUAAUCCCAUUCUCCUGCACUGCCCACCCAAGGCACCCACAGAUCUGCUCUCUGUGCCUCCAGAUUAGCCUUCAUUUUCUAGAGAUUCGUAUAGGCACAUGCAGUACAUGCUCUUUUUGCCUGGCUUCUGUGGUGCAGGGUGAUUUUCAGACUCGUCGGUGCUGGUGUGUGUACUAAGUUCCACCCUCUGUGCUCACGUGACGGUGAGGCCAAGGCGGAGGUUGGGCCUGGCCAGGAACUGGGUGCUCUGAGCCACGCUGCCCGAGCCUCCCUCUGGAACCUGAGCGGUUAGUCUCUGUAGCUGGUCAGCUCUGGUGGGCUUAGGCUGCACAGGUUGGAGUUAGAAAGGACAUGAAAUGUCGUCUGUGUUACCACCCGACUUGGCGCCAGGACCUCUGUAAUGCCGGCUAAGGCUGUUUUGAGCAUGCUCUGUUGGCAGCGCCCACCCAGGGACCAGGGCAGGGUGGGUGGGCUGGUCUGCCCUAUCUCCCCACCCCUUCUCUCUCCAUCCCUCCCCCACUGUCUAACUGGCCCCCCUCCCUGCCGCCCAGCAACCUCAGCAGAGCCCUACUUAGACCCCCCAGAGAGGGUCUGCCCAUCUGUUCACCGUGACGGGGCUGGAGAGGGCAGGUGGCAGCAGAUUCUUAUCGUGUCUGUGGUGCCAGAUCUGAAAGAUUAAUCCCCAGUUGCUUGGGUCUCAGGAACCCUGGAGUGCUUUCCCCACGGCUUGAUGUCACUGCACCAACCUGCCGCUGUCUCGAGGGAGUGGUCAGGAAGGGCUGGGUACAGGCGUACCCUGUCUUCCAGAGCUGCUGACACAGGAUCCUCGGUCCCCAACUGCCCCGGGGUAGGGUAGGGGGUAAACCUGGGAAGGUAAGAAAAUAAUGUGGCACCAAGAGGCGGAGGGUGUAGUGGCUGGAUGGAUGUGGAAGGUGGAGCCACAUAGCCUUGGGUUUGAAACCUGGUUCUGCCACUUACUGAUUGGGUGACUUUGGACAAGCGAAGUGACCUCCCUGAGCCCCAUUUCCUCACCCUUGGAUGGAGACAAUUGCACCUACUUCCGCAGGGGUGGUGGGAGGAGUCACUAACACUCCCAGCCGGCUCCUGGCACCUGCAUCGAACUCGCUCCACACACCCAGCGCCCACUGACCUACGGGCCCUGGCCGUCUGUUCCAGGAUGACAUUAAGAAUAUCUAGAUCUUCUGGGAAAUCCCAAAAGGGCAGCUAGCAAUGCCACCUGGCUCCUCCUGAAGUCCCCCGAGGCAGAGCCCAGUGAGCCCAGGCGACUCAGCCAGGAGCCCCCCGCCCGCACCCCCAGGCGCUCCGGGCCCCUCGGGGCGUUCACACGGAGCUCCUGCGUUUCAUGAGGCCGCGGAAGGUG